Dromaius novaehollandiae (emu) is the source of this 2665-nucleotide long non-coding RNA. RefSeq lists it as uncharacterized. The record is from RefSeq and is a predicted model, not a curated record. NCBI's taxonomy places the organism in Eukaryota, Metazoa, Chordata, Aves, Casuariiformes, Dromaiidae. The transcript is spliced from 2 exons.
GGACAGAUGAAUGAAUUUUUUUGCCUUAAACAUUUCUUGGUGCAUGGGGUGCAGGCAGGCCAUAACCCCGAACAAGCCAUCUGUCCCUGGCGGAAACAGGACUGGGCUGCUGCGACCCCCGAGAUGGUCUCCCUGCGACCACCCAGAACACACCGAGCCUGCACUGAACGAGACCGCAAUCGGGCAGAGACUUUGGGAUCUGGACUGUAAAUUAUUGUCCGUUUUUAGCACAACUUCUAUAAAACUUGCUUGGCAUGAGUGGCUAAAUUUGCUGAAGCCUUAGGCCGCACUCCCUAGUACAGUGAGAAAGGGCCCAGAGCUGCUGCAGGCGGGAAUGAUAAGGGCGUUACCAGCAAUUUGCAUUCCUGUGCACUGCUGAAACGGUGCUAAUUGCUGGAGUUACCACCUCUUUGUCAAGACCUUGAGAGGUGAUGGUGGGACCCGAGGAAGGAAGACACACCUAUAGGAAGGAAGACACACCUGUCUGCAGAAACUGCAACAGAAAAGAUAAGGGAGAAAAGAAACAGCCUGCCUAGGAACAACGAUGAGAUCCAAUAAGGAGCAGGAGACCCCAGACUCAAAAAUUACUAUUGGUCUGAACUACCACGUGGGGGGGUGGGAAACUUAAUUUGAAAAAGCUAUAAUUGCCCAGGGAUCUCUUUGUUCAGGGUCCCUCUUUGGAGGUACCCAACUCGAGCUGUAACCACUGCACGCGUGUCAUUCCGAGCUAACCUAGGGUCGGACCCAACUCGAGUUGUAAUUACUGCACGCGCACCACCAAAACUUACACCCAGGGUGAAGAGGAGCCACCUACCACCAGACGGGAGCCCCCCCCCCCACUGCCGAGACUCCCAAAGGAAGAGGACCAACAGGACGCCGCUGGAUCCACGGGACCAAGAGAAGAAAAGGAAGAGGGCACUAGGGAAGAAGACUUGUCUUAUGUUGAGCCUGAGUGUCCUCGACGGGUACUACCUGUGGUAGUUAUAAUAGUUAUUUUUAUCUUUUUUUUUUUUGUAAUUGUGUGCUGCGAUCAUAAUUAGCUUUGUUGUUGAAAACACAACAGCCAAGAAUGGCAUUCUUGACCUAUGUUGGAAAGAUAUUUCUUAUCUUAAUAUGCUUAUAUGUGCUAUGGCAAACCUACCACCAGAAUCAGGAUUACACCCAAGGUAAAAAUAAGCGAACUUUAUCAAUCCAAGCCACCCAUGGUUUGGAGGAUAACUUAAUCCUAGCCUUGGUAAAGGGGUUUGCAACUUCCCUAAAUGAAUCUAGUAUUACUGCCUGCUUGCCUAUGCCUAAAUCUGUAGAAGACCCCCUUCCCAUGGGUAUUCUUCCCACAGACAUAGCAGGCAGUCUGCUGAGACUGUGGAAUACCCGGGGUAUCCUUGAAAUAGUGAAUCCUUAUUCCCCAGAUAGAAGGCGAGUUUCCGUGAAAUUUGAUCAACCGUUUAAUUUUUCCACCAUCAAUCGCACAAACUGUACAUAUUACGAAAGAGGUUUAAACGUAACUUUCACCUGCAAUAUGAUCCCGUGGGGAACUACAGAUUUACAACCUUGGGGGCGAGCAACUAAUGUCCUACAGUAUAAUCAACCAAUAAAUACAACCUGGUGCAUUCAAUGGAACAGAGGGCAAGAUUGUCCCAAGAGGGAAAAGCCCAAGAGUAAUUGUGCCUGGUUUGGAUUAGACUAUCGGGGUUUCACGCCAUUCGAACCAGGACUCUCUUUUGCCCCAGUAUCAAACAAGUCAGCGUUGUGGUCUUGCCAAAAUGUAAUAAAUUGCUCUAACUGGAAACAAUAUGAUUGGGUUGAAUACUAUUGGCCAGUUUAUAUCACCUUAAAAAUGGGCUGUUUGUGCCGAAAUCACAGCAUAGCAUACAAAUCAGUGAGUGAAAAUUUUGCACCUCCUAAUGACUGUCAUGUUGCCUCUGGUGACGCUCCGGCUGGUUUGAUCUGGGCCUGCAGUGAUGGUAAUAUGUAUACUUCUUUAUGGGCUGGGCUACCUGACCUCCAAUGUACCUUGGGACUCCCAACAUUAUGUCCUGUGUGGAAACGGACUCCUAUCCGACCCCACUGGAUAUCCCGCAUGAAACGGGCAAAAAUAACACUGGACGGAGAUGUAGAAGGGUGGCAAGACCCAGGGGUAGCCACCCGCAUAGCCUGGGGAAUGGAAGGAUUCUGGGGCUUUGGGUCUGCUACCACGCGAACGCGAAUAUGGUUAAGUAAGUUAGCUUAUCAAGUAGGAAAACUAGCUAAUGCUACUGAAGCUAGUAUACAGUUGCUUAAUCAGCAACUGCAAGCCACAUCAAAAAUGGCUCUUCAAAACCGCAUGGCACUAGACUUGAUGAUGGUACAUCAAAAUGGGCUUUGUGGUUACUUAAACCUCUCCAGUACUGAUUGCUGUAUCUAUAUCCCUAAUGUUACACUGGACCUUAAUGACCAACUAGAAAGGAUACGACAAGUGGCAAAAGACACCCGUGAGCUCCAAGAAUCAAUGAAUUCUAAUUGGCUUUCAAAAAUAUUUAGUUGGUUUGGACUCAGUGUCGCUGGUUGGAUUCAAAGUUUGAUACAAUAUGUGAUAAUGUUUAUUGCAGUUGUGAUUAUCGUAAGCAUAGCAAUAUCCUGUGUAAAAUCAACUAUAAUAAAAACUGUUAACAUACGAAUGGUCCAA